GGGCCCGCACAAGCGGUGGAGCAUGUGGUUUAAUUCGACGCAACGCGAAGAACCUUACCAGCUCUUGACAUUGCUAAGUCGCGAGUUUUAGAGAUAAAACUCUUCAGUUCGGCUGGACUUAGUACAGGUGCUGCAUGGCUGUCGUCAGCUCGUGUCGUGAGAUGUUGGGUUAAGUCCCGCAACGAGCGCAACCCUUGUCCUUAGUUGCCAGCAAUUCGGUUGGGCACUCUAGGGAGACUGCCGGUGAUAAACCGGAGGAAGGCGGGGAUGACGUCAAGUCCUCAUGGCCCUUACGGGCUGGGCUACACACGUGCUACAAUGGCGUCCACAAUGGGUCGCAAUAGGGCAACCUAGAGCUAAAUCUCAAAAAGACGUCUCAGUUCGGAUUGUACUCUGCAACUCGAGUACAUGAAGUAGGAAUCGCUAGUAAUCG
This 433-nucleotide ribosomal RNA is filed under the name uncultured bacterium. RNAcentral's name for it is "bacterial SSU rRNA". It matches the Rfam family "Bacterial small subunit ribosomal RNA", at positions 917 to 1344 of the family's 1533-position model. The record is from RNAcentral.